RNAcentral lists this ribosomal RNA (423 nucleotides) under uncultured bacterium. RNAcentral describes it as "bacterial SSU rRNA". It matches the Rfam family "Bacterial small subunit ribosomal RNA", at positions 207 to 622 of the family's 1533-position model. The record is from RNAcentral.
AAGACCUUGCGCUUUUGGAGCGGCCGAUGCCUGAUUAGCUAGUUGGUGGGGUAAUGGCCUACCAAAGCUUCGAUCAGUAGCUGGUCUGAGAGGACGACCAGCCACACUGGGACUGAGACACGGCCCAGACUCCUACGGGAGGCAGCAGUGGGGAAUUUUGGACAAUGGGCGCAAGCCUGAUCCAGCCAUGCCGCGUGAGUGAAGAAGGCCUUCGGGUUGUAAAGCUCUUUCAAUCGGGAAGAAAAGGUUGCGACUAAUAAUCGCAAUUCAUGACGGUACCGGAAGAAGAAGCACCGGCUAACUACGUGCCAGCAGCCGCGGUAAUACGUAGGGUGCGAGCGUUAAUCGGAAUUACUGGGCGUAAAGGGUGCGCAGGCGGUUUUGUAAGUCAGAUGUGAAAUCCCCGGGCUUAACCCGGGAACU